This 1998-nucleotide ribosomal RNA is filed under the name Salmonella enterica subsp. enterica serovar Enteritidis. RNAcentral describes it as "partial 23S ribosomal RNA". It matches the Rfam family "Bacterial large subunit ribosomal RNA", at positions 763 to 2742 of the family's 2925-position model. The record is from RNAcentral. Lineage: Bacteria; Pseudomonadati; Pseudomonadota; Gammaproteobacteria; Enterobacterales; Enterobacteriaceae.
UAACUGGAGGACCGAACCGACUAAUGUUGAAAAAUUAGCGGAUGACCUGUGGCUGGGGGUGAAAGGCCAAUCAAACCGGGAGAUAGCUGGUUCUCCCCGAAAGCUAUUUAGGUAGCGCCUCGUGAAUUCAUCUCCGGGGGUAGAGCACUGUUUCGGCUAGGGGGCCAUCCCGGCUUACCAACCCGAUGCAAACUGCGAAUACCGGAGAAUGUUAUCACGGGAGACACACGGCGGGUGCUAACGUCCGUCGUGAAGAGGGAAACAACCCAGACCGCCAGCUAAGGUCCCAAAGUCAUGGUUAAGUGGGAAACGAUGUGGGAAGGCCCAGACAGCCAGGAUGUUGGCUUAGAAGCAGCCAUCAUUUAAAGAAAGCGUAAUAGCUCACUGGUCGAGUCGGCCUGCGCGGAAGAUGUAACGGGGCUAAACCAUGCACCGAAGCUGCGGCAGCGACACUGUGUGUUGUUGGGUAGGGGAGCGUUCUGUAAGCCUGUGAAGGUGUGUCGUGAGGCAUGCUGGAGGUAUCAGAAGUGCGAAUGCUGACAUAAGUAACGAUAAAGCGGGUGAAAAGCCCGCUCGCCGGAAGACCAAGGGUUCCUGUCCAACGUUAAUCGGGGCAGGGUGAGUCGACCCCUAAGGCGAGGCCGAAAGGCGUAGUCGAUGGGAAACGGGUUAAUAUUCCCGUACUUGGUGUUACUGCGAAGGGGGGACGGAGAAGGCUAUGUUGGCCGGGCGACGGUUGUCCCGGUUUAAGCGUGUAGGUGUGUGUUCCAGGUAAAUCCGGUUCACUUUAACACUGAGGCGUGACGACGAGGCACUACGGUGCUGAAGCAACAAAUGCCCUGCUUCCAGGAAAAGCCUCUAAGCAUCAGGUAACAUCAAAUCGUACCCCAAACCGACACAGGUGGUCAGGUAGAGAAUACCAAGGCGCUUGAGAGAACUCGGGUGAAGGAACUAGGCAAAAUGGUGCCGUAACUUCGGGAGAAGGCACGCUGACACGUAGGUGAAGUGAUUUACUCAUGGAGCUGAAGUCAGUCGAAGAUACCAGCUGGCUGCAACUGUUUAUUAAAAACACAGCACUGUGCAAACACGAAAGUGGACGUAUACGGUGUGACGCCUGCCCGGUGCCGGAAGGUUAAUUGAUGGGGUCAGCGCAAGCGAAGCUCCUGAUCGAAGCCCCGGUAAACGGCGGCCGUAACUAUAACGGUCCUAAGGUAGCGAAAUUCCUUGUCGGGUAAGUUCCGACCUGCACGAAUGGCGUAAUGAUGGCCAGGCUGUCUCCACCCGAGACUCAGUGAAAUUGAACUCGCUGUGAAGAUGCAGUGUACCCGCGGCAAGACGGAAAGACCCCGUGAACCUUUACUAUAGCUUGACACUGAACAUUGAGCCUUGAUGUGUAGGAUAGGUGGGAGGCUUUGAAGUGUGGACGCCAGUCUGCAUGGAGCCGACCUUGAAAUACCACCCUUUAAUGUUUGAUGUUCUAACGUGGACCCGUUACCCGGGUUGCGGACAGUGUCUGGUGGGUAGUUUGACUGGGGCGGUCUCCUCCUAAAGAGUAACGGAGGAGCACGAAGGUUGGCUAAUCCUGGUCGGACAUCAGGAGGUUAGUGCAAUGGCAUAAGCCAGCUUGACUGCGAGCGUGACGGCGCGAGCAGGUGCGAAAGCAGGUCAUAGUGAUCCGGUGGUUCUGAAUGGAAGGGCCAUCGCUCAACGGAUAAAAGGUACUCCGGGGAUAACAGGCUGAUACCGCCCAAGAGUUCAUAUCGACGGCGGUGUUUGGCACCUCGAUGUCGGCUCAUCACAUCCUGGGGCUGAAGUAGGUCCCAAGGGUAUGGCUGUUCGCCAUUUAAAGUGGUACGCGAGCUGGGUUUAGAACGUCGUGAGACAGUUCGGUCCCUAUCUGCCGUGGGCGCUGGAGAACUGAGGGGGGCUGCUCCUAGUACGAGAGGACCGGAGUGGACGCAUCACUGGUGUUCGGGUUGUCAUGCCAAUGGCACUGCC